RNAcentral lists this ribosomal RNA (1746 nucleotides) under Triticum aestivum (bread wheat). RNAcentral describes it as "partial small subunit ribosomal RNA". Lineage: Eukaryota; Viridiplantae; Streptophyta; Magnoliopsida; Poales; Poaceae. The record is from RNAcentral.
AUGGCUGCCAGCGUCGCGGGCUGCUUCUUCUUCUUCUUCUUCUUUGCUGUGGUUCUAGCAACGGCGUCCAGCGGCGGCAGUGCUGCACUCGUUGAACAUACGUUCAUCGUGAGCCAGAUGAAGCUGAAUCACCUGUGCAACGAUACGCUCGUCACCGUGGUGAACGGGCAGCUCCCCGGCCCAGCUAUAGAGGUCACGGAAGGAGACUCUCUGGUUGUUCAUGUCGUCAACAAGUCGCCCCAUGGAGUAACAAUUCACUGGCAUGGAGUGAAGCAGCAACUGAAUUGCUGGGCUGAUGGGGCGGGGAUGAUCACUCAAUGCCCGAUCCAACCGAACAAGAACUUCACAUACCGUUUCGACGUGGCCGGGCAAGAGGGCACGCUGUGGUGGCACGCUCAUGUCACCUCCCUCCGUGUGACCGUCCAUGGCGCCCUCAUCAUCCGCCCAAGAUCCGGGCCGGACUCGUACCCGUUCCCCAAACCCGACAAGGAGAUCCCAAUUGUUAUAGGUGAAUGGUGGGAGACAGAUCCUUUCGAGUUGGAUAGGAGAUUCGCGAACAGUGACUUUGCCGAUGUGCCCCGUUCAUCUACCAUCAACGGAAAGCUUGGGGACCUUAAUACCUGUUCCGGGGUCACCGAAGACAAUUAUGUUCUUGAAGUGGAGCUUGGCAAGACGUAUCUUUUGCGGAUAGUAAACGCUGCGCUUCACCCACAGUACUACUUCAAGAUCGCCGGGCACACGUUCACGGUGGUGGCCGUCGAUGCCAACUAUGUCAAACCAUACAUGACGGACACCAUCGUGAUCGCAGCAGGCGAGACCGUCGAUGUGUUGGUCGUCGCCGCCGCCGCGCCUACGGGCGGCAGGUACUACAUGGUCGCACUGGGCAUCAUGUCAUUGGGGCCCCUCACCAAAACCCCGGUGUUCAUUUCACGCGGGGUCAUGUCCUACACCGCCAAUGCCUCGGGCAAAGGAACGUCAGAUGAUACUGGUCCGAUAAUGGUCCCUGAGAUGCCCGACUAUCGUGACGAAACCAUGUCGUUCUACUUCCAUGGCAACCUGACCAGCCUGCGGCCGGUGCCAGUGCCCGGAAACAUCGACGAGCGACUGCUCAUUGCCGUUGACACGGGGAGACUGUGCAGACAAGGUAGUGUGCCAUCACCACCAGCCUACUGCAUGGUGACCCGCAUGAACAACAUAUCAUUCCAGCUUCCGACGACAACGUCAUUGCUCCAAGCAUAUUACAAGAAGGAUAUCACGAUGAUCACCUCCCUCCGGGACUUCCCAAGCAGGCCACCACCAAGGAUAGUGUUCAACCGCGGCUACACGUCGAGAGGGGUGUCGGUGUGGAGGGUGCGCUACAACACCACGGUGGAGGUUGUGCUGCAGGGGCCGCCAACGCCAGCCAGCUACUCUAACCCCAUGCACCUCCAUGGCCACGACUUCUUCAUCCUAGCGCAGGGGCUCGGGAGAUACAACGCGGAGAAGGAUGUGUACGCGUACAACCUGGUUGAUCCGCCCGUGAGGAACAUGGCCCUCGUCCCCAUGUAUGGGUGGACUGUCAUCCGAUUCGUCACAACUAAUCCUGGGGUGUGGUUCUUGCACUGCCAUCUCGCACAACACGUGUCGUCGGGCAUGGCGAUGGCAUUCGUGGUGGAGAAUGGACCAACGACCGACACCACUCUUCCUCCGCCUCCCGCAGAUUAUCCAAGUUGUGAUGACCCAGAUGAUAAAGUGGGGUAUGAAUGA